UUGGGUUAAGUCCCGUAACGAGCGCAACCCUUGUCCUAGUUACCAGCACGUUAUGGUGGGCACUCUAAGGAGACUGCCGGUGACAAACCGGAGGAAGGUGGGGAUGACGUCAAGUCAUCAUGGCCCUUACGGCCUGGGCUACACACGUGCUACAAUGGUCGGUACAAAGGGUUGCCAAGCCGCGAGGUGGAGCUAAUCCCAUAAAACCGAUCGUAGUCCGGAUCGCAGUCUGCAACUCGACUGCGUGAAGUCGGAAUCGCUAGUAAUCGUGAAUCAGAAUGUCCACGGUCGAAUACGUUCCCGGGCCUU
This 309-nucleotide ribosomal RNA is filed under the name uncultured Pseudomonas sp. Its description in RNAcentral is "bacterial SSU rRNA". It matches the Rfam family "Bacterial small subunit ribosomal RNA", at positions 1075 to 1382 of the family's 1533-position model. Lineage: Bacteria; Pseudomonadati; Pseudomonadota; Gammaproteobacteria; Pseudomonadales; Pseudomonadaceae. The record is from RNAcentral.